Molecule: long non-coding RNA, 1186 nt
Filed under: Monodelphis domestica (gray short-tailed opossum)
Lineage: Eukaryota; Metazoa; Chordata; Mammalia; Didelphimorphia; Didelphidae
Description: lncRNA (ENSMODG00000035297.2)
Source: RNAcentral
AUGAUACAGGCAACUCAGUGCUUUAGAAACAUGACGUGGGCAGCUGCUAUAAAAGAUGGGUUAGAGAAAAAGAGACUGGAAGCAAGGAAUCUAAUUAAGAAGCUAUUUCAAGAGGGACAGAGGUUUUCAAUGAGGAAGAAACCAUUACCUUCCAAAGCAGCCCUUUCUACUUUUGUACAACUUUGAUUGAUAAGAAACAUUUCUCAUAUAAAGAAUUAUUCACUUUGUUAUGUGAAUAUGUUGGUUGUUGAAAAUAGCAGGAAAGUGACAUUUGUGUUCUAUAUGUCUAUAUGUGUGUAUAAAUUAAAAAACACUAACAGUUUCUCAGCAUUUUGCCCAGGGUGGGUAUAUAUCAAAAGGGCAGAGAAGAAGCUUUGCUUAGGAGAAAAACUGUGAGGAAAAGAAGGUGAACAAAUAGCCAAGAAGUGAUUUUUCCUAGCAGUUGAUACAGAGUAUAGACUGCUCCCUAAGGAAUGAAGAACCUCAAAGCCUGUUAUUCAGAGUUGUGAGUUAUCUUUAGCAUAUGGAUUUACUUCCCUGUUAGGUUGCUAUAAAUAUGUGUUAACUCUCCCUAAUACAUUGCUUGCUUUGGCCAGAGAGUGUGGGUUUAUGGGGAGACUAUAAUAAUUCAAUUAUUGUUGUUUUUGUCUUCUAUGAGUAAAAGUUAUGUUUAUCCUUACAUUUGCCUUUGCAAUGAGAAAUAUUUCAUGUUUGAGAGUCAUUGUUUGACCAUUGAUUCAUAGGAACUGUUGUCUAGUCUCACUUUACCAAUACUCUAUUUGUGAGGUUUAUUAUCUUUUAACUUAAGGGUAGAAUCUCAUAUUUUAUCCUAUUAGAAUUAUAGAACCAUAGAUGUAGAGAUGGAAGGGAUCACAAAGUCAUCUAGUCCAACUCCCUUAUCUAGAGUUAAGAAAACUGAGGCAUGGAGAUUUUAAGUGAUUUAUUCAAGGUCACAUAGGUAGGAAAUUAAAAAAUCAGAAUUUGACCCAGUUCCUCUGUCUUCAAAUCCAAAGUGUUCCUUAAUUUAGUCAAUUGUUGGAGUCAGUUGAAAUCUUUUUUGGAUCUUGAUUCUCAUUCAACAUGAUUGCUAUUCUUUCAAGAUUGUGGUAUACAUUGUCCAUUGGCUAAUUUGAUAAUCAUGCCAUGUAUUUGCUCAUUUAAGUUGGGUAUAAAAAAGAGCAUUGAC